RNAcentral lists this unclassified non-coding RNA (337 nucleotides) under soil metagenome. RNAcentral describes it as "partial contains 5.8S ribosomal RNA, internal transcribed spacer 2, and large subunit ribosomal RNA". The stretch from base 1 to 128 matches the Rfam family "5.8S ribosomal RNA", at positions 35 to 154 of the family's 154-position model. The record is from RNAcentral.
GAUGAAGAACGCAGCGAAAUGCGAUAAGUAAUGUGAAUUGCAGAAUUGCAGAAUUCAGUGAAUCAUCGAAUCUUUGAACGCACAUUGCGCCCCCUGGUAUUCCGGGGGGCAUGCCUGUCCGAGCGUCAUUACAACCCUCAAGCUCAGCUUGGUGUUGGGCCCCGCCGCCCCGGCGGGCCCUAAAGUCAGUGGCGGUGCCGUCCGGCUCCGAGCGUAGUAAUUCUUCUCGCUCUGGAGGUCCGGUCGUGUGCUCGCCAGCAACCCCCAAUUUUUUUCAGGUUGACCUCGGAUCAGGUAGGGAUACCCGCUGAACUUAAGCAUAUCAAUAAGCGGAGGA